AUGAGAUCAGGGAGCGCCGCGGCCGCCGCCGUAAUCUUGUCUCGACGGCUCGGAGCCGUGUUGCUGCUGGUGCUGCUUCUGAUCGCGGCAACGGCGGCGGCGGCGGAGGGGAGCAAGAGCGGGAGCGGCGACGGCAAGGCGCACAACUACGAGGAGGCGCUGCGGAAGAGCCUGCUCUACUUCGAGGCGCAGCGGUCGGGGCGGCUGCCGCACGGGCAGCGCGUGCCGUGGCGCGACCACUCGGGCCUCACCGACGGCCUGGAGCAGGGGGUGGACCUGGUGGGCGGCUACUACGACGCCGGCGACCACGUCAAGUUCGGCCUGCCUAUGGCCUUCACCGUCACCAUGCUGUCCUGGAGCAUGCUCGAGUACGGCGCCGACGUCGCGGCGGCCGGCGAGCUCGCGCACGCGCUCGAGGCCAUCAAGUGGGGCACCGACUACUUCAUCAAGGCGCACACGCAGCCCGACGAGCUGUGGGCCGAGGUGGGGGACGGCGACACGGACCACUACUGCUGGCAGCGGCCGGAGGACAUGACGACGUCGCGGCAGGCGUACAAGGUGGACCGCGACCACCCGGGCUCCGACGUCGCCGGCGAGACGGCCGCCGCCAUGGCCGCCGCCUCCAUGGUCUUCCGCAAGUCCAACCCGCACUACGCCCACCUCCUCCUGCACCACGCCCAGCAGCUGUUCGAGUUCGCGGACGGGUACAGGGGCCAGUACGACAGCAGCAUCGCGGAGGUGAAGAGCUACUACGCGUCGGUGAGCGGGUACAAGGACGAGCUGCUGUGGGCCGCCCUGUGGCUCCACCGCGCCACCGGCAAGCCCGGCUACCUCGACUACGUCGUCGACAACGCCCACGACUUCGGCGGCACCGGCUGGGCCAUCACCGAGUUCAGCUGGGACGUCAAGUACGCGGGCGUCCAGAUCCUCGCCGCAAGACUGCUGCUGAGGGGAGAGCACACGGCGGAGCAGAAGAGGACGCUGGAGCGGUACCAGGCCAAGGCGGAGCACUACGUGUGCGCGUGCCUGGGCCGGAACGCGCAGGCCGGCGGCGAGGACGCCAACGUGGAGCGGAGCCCGGGCGGGAUGCUCUACAUCCGGCAGUGGAACAACAUGCAGUACGUGACCAACGCGGCGUUCCUGCUGUCCACGUACGCCGACUACCUGGCCGAGGCCGGCGUGGGGACGGUGACCUGCGCCGGCGGCGAGACGGCGGGCGCCGGCGAGGUGGCGGCACUGGCCAGAGCGCAGGUGGACUACGUGCUGGGCACCAACCCCAGGGGCGUCAGCUACCUCGUGGGCUACGGCGCCAAGUACCCCGCCAGGGUGCACCACCGCGCCGCCUCCAUCGUGCCGUACAAGCACAGCAAGCAGUUCAUCGGGUGCUCGCAGGGGUUCGAACACUGGUUCGGCCGCCGCAGCUCCAACCCCAACGUGCUCGUCGGCGCCAUCGUCGGCGGGCCCGACCGGAGGGACCGGUUCAGGGACAACCGGGACAACUACAUGCAGACGGAGGCGUGCACCUACAACACCGCGCCCAUGGUGGGGAUGUUCGCCAAGCUCAACCGGAUGGCGAGGGAGGAGAGGGAGCGGAGAGCUGCCACGGCGAGAAGCGGCACGGCGGCCGAGGUGUAA
RNAcentral lists this ribosomal RNA (1635 nucleotides) under Triticum aestivum (bread wheat). RNAcentral describes it as "partial small subunit ribosomal RNA". Lineage: Eukaryota; Viridiplantae; Streptophyta; Magnoliopsida; Poales; Poaceae. The record is from RNAcentral.